GAGCGAGAAUGGAUAGUGGCGAGCCAAAUUUCUGGGAAAGAGACGCUGACAAAUUUUAACUAACGUUUGCUAUGGAGCACAAUUAAAUCAAAUUAUAACUAUUAAAUUUAUUUUAGGUUAUUAGUUUGUUACAAUUUUUUCCCUUUUUUAUUUAGGGCUUUAUUAGGUCAAAAAAUAGAUGGUGAUUUUUUUUUUUUCUGAAAUGAGAAACAAUUUCCAAGUAGAAAAACCCUAAUUAUUUCCUCUUCCAUUUUCCUCCCUUAGCAUCCACCACCCUAAACCCUCUUCUCCGACCAGCAGCGAAAUUCGGGAAUAAUGACAUUCAUUUUACACUUUUAUCCAGCCAAGCAACAAUGAAAUCAAACCCCAAAGCCCCCCCCCCCCCCCUUUUUUUUUUUUAACUCUUCUUCACUGUUAUCUCGCGAAAAACCCCAAUUCCUACGAGCAUUGAGCUGACCCAACAACCAUGAAGCUACUGCUAGCUCACCACCUGUAAAUAACUGGACCAAAACUCCGACCAACGAAGCUAGCUGCUUCCCUUUCCCUCUUUCCUUUCCCGAUUUUUUCAUUUUUCCACAUCUCCAGAGAGCUUCAAGCUCCACAGCCAACUAAACCCAUUUCCCACCAAACUCCAUUUUUCUCCUUUUUCCGAUAAAAAGGUCAUGGGAAACAACCCCCAAAUCAGAUCUCAAAACGAACUAGACCCCACCAAUUCUUCUUUCCCUAUUGGCGUUUCCGGCGAAAUCACAAGCUCAAACUGGUGGAGUGACCGACAACAACCUCACACAACAACGAGCAGCAGUCAUGAGCUGUCGAAACCCGCAAAAUAUCGACGAGUCUCUCACUUUCAGAUCUGCCCGGAGGAAUACAUAUUCCGGUAUGACAAUCAAGUUGAACACACCUGACACUAACUUUCUCAUCCUUGCCCUCAAAUCGACAACUAUAAUUGGAUCAUACUUAUCCAAUUUAGUUAAUGGGUUUGUUAGGAUCAUAUUCGAUAUGUCACGUUUAGGGGAUAGUUGGAUCAUGAGAGAAGUAUUCAAGACAACUCACUGCCUUCCACCAAUGCAUCUGUUCAUAAAAGAAAGAGGACUUGUCAUCUACUUUCCUACCUAAAAAGGUACAAGAGAAGAUCAACUUGCUCAAAAGGAACUUAAUGUAUCAAUAGAAGCAACAUAAAAUCCAUUUACUGCUCAAAAUGAACCUAAUGGAUCAGCUGAAGCAGCACAAAGUCAUUCACAACUCAAAAAAGUGAAACCCAUCAAUCUUAGAAACAAGGUAAUAAUUAUAAAGUAUCGUCUUCUAAAGUAAACAAAAAAGGUAGGUGCAAAAAAUAGAUAAACAUUUGAACAUGAUAAUGAGAUUGUUAUCAAAGGUCUAAUGGAGGCGAUGAAAUAAUUCACUCAAAGUCAUGAUAGGCAAAUGACUUCUUUAAUUGACAACUAGGAGAGCGUGAUCUAUAUGAGAUUCAUGGUAAGAUAUUUUAUAUUAUUAGACUCCAUGUAUUUGAAAUGUGUAACUCGGAUGAACCACUCAAGGAAAUAAUGGAAAUUACUCAAGAUAUAAAGAGGAUGGAGUUCUUCUUAAGCAUUAGUGAAGUUGAACGUCACAGUAUGGUAUGGAUGAUUAUUAGUGAUUAAAUUUUUGUAUCACUGAAUGAUUUUUGUGUAGCUAUUUUGUAAGGUCUAACCAUAGUGAGAUUUUUUGUUACCUAGUAGAAUGUCCACGAGUGUACAUAUAUGUGAAUGUUGUUGGCUUAAAGUGGGUUGCUUUUUUUUUUUAUAUAACAAAUGCAUCACUAAGUUUAACAUUAGUGUUUUUGUAAGUAUCCAACUCAGAUGCGCUUCAUAUUGCUUAAAAAGAUGACCCAAACGGUAAGUUCAUCAUCUUCUCCAAGGUGUUUUUAAUUCCUUCUUCUCCGAGAUUGUAUUGAACUUUCCUUUUCUCGCAGACUAUUCAUUAAUUAGAGUAGUCACAAAAGUCCAGUCAGACAUAUAAUGUACUCAGAUGAUAUCGUCAAUUGAUUAUAUGUUGUUGGAACUGGUAUUCAGCUUUUGAAACUUGGUGUUUUUCAUGGAAGGAUAAUGUUACAAAAAUAGGACAUCUCUUUUGAAAACAGAGUUAAUUGUAUGUCAUUGUUGUAUGUGUCCGUUUUUGUAAUUCAACAAUGAAGUAUGUAAGUUCAAUUCACUUAAUGAAGAUGGGUCUAAUACUUAAACAAUGAAUUAUGCGCGAGUAAAUUCUUUCCUUAUGAAUGGUUUCUCCUUUAGCUUAAUUUGUAUGAGAUCGAAUUCAAAAGGGCAACAAAUUUUUUAAACCAAUUUCAGAAGUGCAACAUUUUUUUUAUCAAACCAAAAGGGCCGUAAAUUUAAUACCGUCUAUAUUAGAUUUCAUGCCGCAAGAAAUAGAAUUCAAUGAACCUUGUAAGGCGCAACAUACUUGAGCCUUGUAAGGCUCAAAUGACAUGCGCCUUACAAGGCUCAAGGUUUCAACGUUUUGUAGGAUUUUUAAAAAGAAAUAUUUGAUCGCUUUUGAAAUGUCUGUGAGAUAAUCUCUUUUGAAUCUAAUUGAGCUUUGUGUUUUUAUAUAUUCUUUUGUUGUCAUAACAUAGAAUUUUCCUUUGAAGGUAAAAGAAGAAGAAAAUAUUGAUUAGAGUCAAAUCUUAUUUUGAUGGCUUUGUGGCAGUUGUGUUUUGAUUGUGAAGCAGACUGAUACAAGUAUCAUCUAGUUUAUCAUCUUGUGGUGGAUUUUAUUUACUAGUAAUAUUCUUCACUUUCCUUCUUUAGCUGGUUGUUUGGAUUGAGUAUGUUAUGACUAGUUGAAAGCGAUCGAAUAUACACAUAUACUUAAAAAGGCUGCA
Non-coding RNA from Solanum lycopersicum (tomato), 2860 nucleotides. NCBI's taxonomy places the organism in Eukaryota, Viridiplantae, Streptophyta, Magnoliopsida, Solanales, Solanaceae. The record is from RefSeq and is a predicted model, not a curated record.